UCCUUCUUCUUCUUCUUCUCUUUCUUCCAAGAACUUCGCUCUUUCAGAUUCUGCAGAACUUGCCGGAAUUGGCACAGGAGUUUCAGCAACAACUCUGGCAUUUUUUGAAGGCUGUGGUGUCACUUCUAGGUGAACCAUUUCAACAGGUUGAGGAGAGAAGUGUGAUUUGUUUGAAGAAACAAUUCCACUAGUAAAAACUGAAGCUUUACCGGUAGGAGCAAAGCCUGUGAAAAAUCCCAUAACAAAGCACAAAGCAAAAUGGACAACAGCUUUCUUCCAUAACUGA
RNAcentral lists this unclassified non-coding RNA (286 nucleotides) under Hevea brasiliensis (rubber tree). The record is from RNAcentral. Lineage: Eukaryota; Viridiplantae; Streptophyta; Magnoliopsida; Malpighiales; Euphorbiaceae.